GACGAACGCUGGCGGCGUGCCUAAUACAUGCAAGUAGAACGCUGAAGAGAGGAGCUUGCUCUUCUUGGAUGAGUUGCGAACGGGUGAGUAACGCGUAGGUAACCUGCCUGGUAGCGGGGGAUAACUAUUGGAAACGAUAGCUAAUACCGCAUAACAACAGUUGUUGCAUGACAGCUGUUUAAAAGAUGCAAUUGCAUCACUACCAGAUGGACCUGCGUUGUAUUAGCUAGUUGGUGAGGUAACGGCUCACCAAGGCGACGAUACAUAGCCGACCUGAGAGGGUGAUCGGCCAUACUGGGACUGAGACACGGCCCAGACUCCUACGGGAGGCAGCAGUAGGGAAUCUUCGGCAAUGGGGGGAACCCUGACCGAGCAACGCCGCGUGAGUGAAGAAGGUUGUCGGAUCGUAAAGCUCUGUUGUAAGAGAAGAACGGGUGUGAGAGUGGAAAGUUCACACUGUGACGGUAUCUUACCAGAAAGGGACGGCUAACUACGUG
RNAcentral lists this ribosomal RNA (497 nucleotides) under uncultured bacterium. RNAcentral describes it as "partial 16S ribosomal RNA". It matches the Rfam family "Bacterial small subunit ribosomal RNA", at positions 28 to 507 of the family's 1533-position model. The record is from RNAcentral.